GAUGAAGAACGUAGCGAAAUGCGAUAAGUAAUGUGAAUUGCAGAAUUCAGUGAAUCAUCGAAUCUUUGAACGCACAUUGCGCCCCCUGGUAUUCCGGGGGGCAUGCCUGUUCGAGCGUCAUUUCACCACUCAAGCCUCGCUUGGUAUUGGGCAACGCGGUCCGCCGCGUGCCUCAAAUCGACCGGCUGGGUCUUCUGUCCCCUAAGCGUUGUGGAAUCUAUUCGCUAAAGGGUGUUCGGGAGGCUACGCCGUAAAACAACCCCAUUUCUAAGGUUGACCUCGGAUCAGGUAGGGAUACCCGCUGAACUUAAGCAUAUCAAUAAGCGGAGGA
Molecule: unclassified non-coding RNA, 331 nt
Filed under: soil metagenome
Description: partial contains 5.8S ribosomal RNA, internal transcribed spacer 2, and large subunit ribosomal RNA
Rfam family: 5.8S ribosomal RNA (bases 1-120)
Source: RNAcentral